Molecule: non-coding RNA, 160 nt
Filed under: uncultured Prevotella sp.
Lineage: Bacteria; Pseudomonadati; Bacteroidota; Bacteroidia; Bacteroidales; Prevotellaceae
Source: RNAcentral
UUGGUUCAUAAUCGAGUAUGAUUAAAAGGGAAUAAGGUGAAAAUCCUUAACAGUCCCGCUGCUGUAAUCGGUAUUGUUGAAGAAGCGGAUACCACUGACAUUUAGGGUCGGGAAGGUGUUUCUUCGAAAGCCGAAAAGUCAGAAGACCUGCCAUUGCCUG